RNAcentral lists this ribosomal RNA (524 nucleotides) under Camponotus sp. ACH1136. RNAcentral's name for it is "partial 28S ribosomal RNA". Lineage: Eukaryota; Metazoa; Arthropoda; Insecta; Hymenoptera; Formicidae. The record is from RNAcentral.
AGUACGUGAAACCGUUCAGGGGUAAACCUAAGAAACCCAAAAGAUCGAACGGGGAGAUUCAUCGUCAGCGGCGCUGGCUUCGCGUCGGUGAGCGAUGUCCCGCGGAGUCCUCGCGGCUCGCGCGCGGGCACAUUACCGUGCGUUGAUGUCCGGCUGUUGUCGUCGUGCACUUCUCCCCAAGUAGAAACGUCGCGACUCGCUGGGUGUCGGUCUACGGCCCGGGUGCGGUGACUGUCGCGUCGCCGGUAAAAAGGCAUGCGAGAAACUCUCGGUCGCCCGGCCGGCUGCUCAGCGGUACGCGCAAGGUAUCAAGCCGCACUUCUACACGGUGCGUCGAGGCCGUCGCAAGCGCGCGCCACGGUACUCGGAGGUUAUAGACUUUGCGCCGUCCCCGGUCUUGACCCGCUGUUGGUUAAAGUACGGAUCACCUUCGACAGGCCUGCGAACGUCUCUCUCACGGGGAACGGAUACCGGUCGGCGACGCUACUGCUUUGGGUACUCUUAGGACCCGUCUUGAAAACACG